AAAUUUAUUGUACGUCUGUAAAUAGUUGAAUAGAAUUCUCUCCUCCCCAAAAGAUUUCAUAGCCUUAAUGUCCAAUACAAAUCACAUUUAACAUUCUACAUUUGGAUUUUUCCCCACAUGACUGAAAAAAUCUAUUGCAGAUAUUUGUCCAAAGUGUGGUAUACGACCAUCUGCAUUUCUCCUUUUUAUUUCACUCCCAAGAAAAUUUGUCCUUAGAAGUAAAAUGUCUAUCAGCAAACAUGAUUUUAGGUGUCUUUUUCAGGAUGUUGAAAAUGAGACAUCCUCAAUUCUGCCUUUUCAACUAUCAUUAAUGAAGCUUUGAUGUCAUUUGAUACCCAAAUCAAAUAACGUCAUUAAUGAAGCUUUGGUAUCCUUUGGCACUAAAGUCAAAUGGUGUCGUUAAUGAAGGUUUGGUGUCAUUAUCCACUUUUCAUGGAUAAUUGAGUUAAUUGUAUAAUGAUUAAUUUUUUGAUAGCAGAAGUCAUGAUAAAUCUCAUAUUACCUACAAAGCAUAGAUGUCAUUGGUGGGUUAAUGGCAGUUUUAAAAAAUGUGGACUGCAAGAUAAAAUCAUUGGUACUUAAGCUUCAAGGGAAUAAUGAUUGCUAAGAAAGCUCAAGGUUAAUUCUCUAGAUAAAUGGCUAUCAUAUAGUAUCGUAUAGUAUUUACUAUGUGGCAAACAUUGUUCUAAGAGCUUUAUACAUUUUUACUUAUUUAAUCAUCGUAAUAACAACAAGACAUUGGUAUUCAUAUUAUUUUCCCUUGCACAGAUAAGAACACUGAGGCAAAGGGAAGUUAAGCAAUUUGCCCUAUGUCAAGCAGCUACUAAUUGGCAGAGGUGGAAUUUGAACCCAGACAAUCAGAUUCUAGAAUCCAUGCUAUUAACCACUACAUUGUAUCACGUCUUAUAUAAAAGUACCUGGAAAAGAAAGCUGUUGGAAUAGGGGUGGAAUGCUAAUUAGGAUUUUGUUUUUGUCCCUUCACAAAUAUUACAGUGGCUUUUUUUCCUACAGAGAAUGUGUUUUCUUGCAAUGUGGUAUAACUACAAUUCCUGCUAGAGCUGACUCUGAUAUUAUCUAUACAUAAUUCUAAGCCUUCUGAACAUUAUUAUGUGACCUGGUGCUGAGUAUGUAGGAUGGUAUCAUUUAAAUUCUGGGUUCCUUAACCUAUGUUCUUUUCUUGCCCUUUCUAAGCUGUUGGGAGUCAUACAACUCCAUAGCACUCAAAGUGAAAAUUCUAUGUUACAUGUUCAUUAGAAUACACUCAAUUGUUUAAGUACUAAAGUUUAAAUAUUAUGAGUCAGGGUCAUCCUCUUAUAUAUUUGUUGCAAUAUUAAGUGUGUGGCAGACAUGAAUGCCCACAUACUGUUGUAGUUAAUUUCUUAAAGAGCUAAAAAGCCAUAAUACAAUUGUUUUUGCCUUAGCUAAGAUAACAAGGAAUAAUCUGUUAGUGUUGGUAUGAAAUGCACACUAGAUAAUGUUUUCCUUGUUGAUGAUUCUUAAUACCCAUUAUUAUAGUUCAACCUGAGUAUAGAUCUCAUUUGCUGAAUUAAGAAGGAUAAUUUUAAAUAAAACUCUAAAACUGGAACACUUAGUCAACAUGACUGUUUCUGAAUAGUAUGUUUUGAAGAAAUAUACAAAAGAAAAUCAGAGGAUAACAAUAUCAAGGAUUCAUGUUUAAAAUAUUUUCAGUGUAUGUUUUGGACUCAUUCCAGACAUUGUUCAAUUUUCUACAUUUAACUUGUGCUAAACAAAUCUUAAAAAAAAACUUUAGUCAUUUUGUCUUAAGGGCACACAAAUGCUUUCUGGCUAUGCUUUGCAUCCCACUCAGGCUUCUUCAUCUACCUUCCUUCCAAAAUGUUCUUCUUCCCAUCACAUCAAAUUUCUUAAGCAGCAGGUUCACCUGACCUCAGCUUACCCUCUUGCCAUAUGAUGUCUGCUCCUCUUCCUCUUCCACCAUGAUUGGAAGCUACUUAAGGUCCUCACCAGAAGCAGAUGCUGUUGUCAUGCUUCAUAUACAACCUGC
This 2023-nucleotide long non-coding RNA is filed under the name Homo sapiens (human). RNAcentral describes it as "HSALNT0284408". Lineage: Eukaryota; Metazoa; Chordata; Mammalia; Primates; Hominidae. The record is from RNAcentral.